GACGAACGCUGGCGGCGUGCUUAACACAUGCAAGUCGAACGGUGAACGAGGGAGCUUGCUCCCUCCGGAUCAGUGGCGAACGGGUGAGUAACACGUGAGCAAUCUGCCCCGAACUCUGGGAUAAGCGUUGGAAACGACGUCUAAUACCGGAUACGACGCGGGAGGGCAUCCUCUCCGCGUGGAAAGAACUUCGGUUCGGGAUGAGCUCGCGGCCUAUCAGCUUGCUGGUGAGGUAACGGCUCACCAAGGCGACGACGGGUAGCCGGCCUGAGAGGGUGACCGGCCACACUGGGACUGAGACACGGCCCAGACUCCUACGGGAGGCAGCAGUGGGGAAUAUUGCACAAUGGGCGCAAGCCUGAUGCAGCAACGCCGCGUGAGGGACGACGGCCUUCGGGUUGUAAACCUCUUUUAGCAGGGAAGAAGCGAAAGUGACGGUACCUGCAGAAAAAGCACCGGCUAACUACGUG
RNAcentral lists this ribosomal RNA (470 nucleotides) under uncultured bacterium. Its description in RNAcentral is "partial 16S ribosomal RNA". It matches the Rfam family "Bacterial small subunit ribosomal RNA", at positions 28 to 507 of the family's 1533-position model. The record is from RNAcentral.